CAAAAGAUAGUUUAAAGAAAAUUUUAAUUUUGGAAAUUAAAGAUAUAAAGUUAUUUAUUUUUUUGA
Molecule: transfer RNA, 66 nt
Filed under: Vespa mandarinia (Asian giant hornet)
Lineage: Eukaryota; Metazoa; Arthropoda; Insecta; Hymenoptera; Vespidae
Also listed under: 1 other name
Description: tRNA-Pro
Source: RNAcentral